AUUGAACGCUGGCGGAAUGCUUUACACAUGCCAGUCGAGCGGCAGCACGGGGGCAACCCUGGUGGCGAGCGGCGAACGGGUGAGUAAUACAUCGGAACAUGCCCAGUCGUGGGGGAUAACACUUCGAAAGAAGUGCUAAUACCGCAUACGUCCUGAGGGGGAAAGCGGGGGAUCGCAAGACCUCGCGCGAUUGGAGUGGCCGAUGUCAGAUUAGCUAGUUGGUGGGGUAAAGGCCUACCAAGGCAACGAUCUGUAGCUGGUCUGAGAGGAUGAUCAGCCACACUGGGACUGAGACACGGCCCAGACUCCUACGGGAGGCAGCAGUGGGAAAUUUUGGACAAUGGGGGCAACCCUGAUCCAGCCAUUCCGCGUGAGUGAAGAAGGCCUUCGGGUUGUAAAGCUCUUUCGGCAGGAACGAAACGGUGAGCUCUAACAUAGCUUGCUAAUGACGGUACCUGAAGAAGAAGCACCGGCUAACUACGUG
Molecule: ribosomal RNA, 484 nt
Filed under: uncultured bacterium
Lineage: Bacteria
Description: partial 16S ribosomal RNA
Rfam family: Bacterial small subunit ribosomal RNA
Source: RNAcentral